CCUACGGGUGGCAGCAGUGAGGAAUAUUGGUCAAUGGCCGGAAGGCUGAACCAGCCAUGCCGCGUGAAGGUCAGUGCCCUAUGGGCGUUAAACUUCUUUUGUGCGGGAGCAAUAAUGGUCACGUGUGGCCUGACGAGAGUACCGUACGAAUAAGCAUCGGCUAACUACGUGCCAGCAGCCGCGGUAAUACGGGGGAUGCAAGCGUUAUCCGGAUUUAUUGGGUUUAAAGGGUGCGUAGGCUGUGAGGUAAGUCAGCGGUGAAAUGCCCCCGCUCAACGGGGUGAAGUGCCAUUGAUACUGCCUUGCUGGAAUGCGGAUGCCGUGGGAGGAAUGUGUGGGGUAGCGGUGAAAUGCAUAGAUAUCACACAGAACACCGAUUGCGAAGGCAGCUCACGAAUCCGCGAUUGACGCUGAUGCACGAAAGCGUGGGUAUCAAACAGGAUUAGAUACCCGUGUAGUC
This 460-nucleotide ribosomal RNA is filed under the name uncultured bacterium. Its description in RNAcentral is "partial 16S ribosomal RNA". It matches the Rfam family "Bacterial small subunit ribosomal RNA", at positions 338 to 795 of the family's 1533-position model. The record is from RNAcentral.